AUUGAACGCUGGCGGAAUGCUUUACACAUGCAAGUCGAACGGCAGCACGGGGGCAACCCUGGUGGCGAGUGGCGAACGGGUGAGUAAUACAUCGGAACGUGCCCAGUCGUGGGGGAUAACGUAGCGAAAGUUACGCUAAUACCGCAUACGAUCUACGGAUGAAAGCGGGGGACCGUAAGGCCUCGCGCGAUUGGAGCGGCCGAUGUCAGAUUAGGUAGUUGGUGAGGUAAAGGCUCACCAAGCCGACGAUCUGUAGCUGGUCUGAGAGGACGGGCAGCCACACGGGGACGGAGACACGGCCCAGACUCCUACGGGAGGCAGCAGUGGGGAAUUUUGGACAAUGGGCGCAAGCCUGAUCCAGCCAUUCCGCGUGCAGGACGAAGGCCUUCGGGUUGUAAACUGCUUUUGUACGGAACGAAAAGGCUCUGGUUAAUACCUGGGGCUCAUGACGGUACCGUAAGAAUAAGCACCGGCUAACUACGUGCCAGCCGCCGCGGUAA
RNAcentral lists this ribosomal RNA (500 nucleotides) under uncultured bacterium. Its description in RNAcentral is "partial 16S ribosomal RNA". It matches the Rfam family "Bacterial small subunit ribosomal RNA", at positions 29 to 523 of the family's 1533-position model. The record is from RNAcentral.